This 497-nucleotide ribosomal RNA is filed under the name uncultured bacterium. Its description in RNAcentral is "partial 16S ribosomal RNA". It matches the Rfam family "Bacterial small subunit ribosomal RNA", at positions 28 to 507 of the family's 1533-position model. The record is from RNAcentral.
GACGAACGCUGGCGGCGUGCCUAAUACAUGCAAGUUGAGCGAUGAAGAUUGGUGCUUGCCCCAAUUUGAAGAGCAGCGAACGGGUGAGUAACGCGUGGGGAAUCUGCCUUUGAGCGGGGGACAACAUUUGGAAACGAAUGCUAAUACCGCAUAACAACUUUAAACAUAAGUUUUAAGUUUGAAAGAUGCAAUUGCAUCACUCAAAGAUGAUCCCGCGUUGUAUUAGCUAGUUGGUGAGGUAAAGGCUCACCAAGGCGAUGAUACAUAGCCGACCUGAGAGGGUGAUCGGCCACAGUGGGACUGAGACACGGCCCAAACUCCUACGGGAGGCAGCAGUAGGGAAUCUUCGGCAAUGGACGAAAGUCUGACCGAGCAACGCCGCGGGAGUGAAGAAGGUUUUCGGAUCGUAAAACUCUGUUGGUAGAGAAGAACGUUGGUGAGAGUGGAAAGCUCAUAAAGUGACGGUAACUACCCAGAAAGGGACGGCUAACUACGUG